This 253-nucleotide ribosomal RNA is filed under the name uncultured bacterium. Its description in RNAcentral is "partial 16S ribosomal RNA". It matches the Rfam family "Bacterial small subunit ribosomal RNA", at positions 524 to 776 of the family's 1533-position model. The record is from RNAcentral.
UACGAGGGGGGCGAGCGUUGUUCGGAAUUAUUGGGCGUAAGGGGUGCGUAGGCGGUUUGGUAAGUCUUGUGUGAAAUCUCCAGGCUCAACUUGGAGUCUGCACGAGAAACUGCCGGGCUUGAGUGUGGGAGAGGUGAGUGGAAUUCCUGGUGUAGCGGUGAAAUGCGUAGAUAUCAGGAGGAACACCUGUGGCGAAAGCGGCUCACUGGACCACAACUGACGCUGAUGCACGAAAGCUAGGGGAGCAAACAGG